RNAcentral lists this long non-coding RNA (2319 nucleotides) under Fragaria vesca (wild strawberry). RNAcentral describes it as "long non-coding RNA (FVES_LNC002064)". The record is from RNAcentral. Lineage: Eukaryota; Viridiplantae; Streptophyta; Magnoliopsida; Rosales; Rosaceae.
ACUUGGCCCUUGAAAGUCUUUGCUCCGGUUAGCUAAAAGGAAACCACAGAUGACAUCAGCUAGCUAUCAGCAGACUUAACCUUAAUUAAGUAUAUAUAUUUACAUAUGCCACCCACCCUAAGAGGCUGGGAAUUACAAUGACAUAAAGGUUUAGUUGGAUAGAGGGAUUUGUUGGUUUAGUUCAUAUCAUCUUUUCCUGUUUUCAAUGUGUUGGUGCAGACUUGCUUUCUUUUUAUCCUCAUUAACCUCUUUCUUCUGUGGCGAGUAGUAUGCCAAUGAUUUGCUUCUCUGCAAGCUGCUUUUGUUGCAAGGGUGGUGUACUGAAUCCAAUUGUUUUAGCGGGCAAGCAAAUGUGCUUGUUUGAAAUAUCAAUCCCGAGUAUUAUACUCUUUAAUUCUUGGUCUGAUUGGUUAAAAUGCAAAGCAUGUUCCUUUGGUAUCUCAAUUCCAGUACUUUACUGAUCGGUAACGUUUUAUAUUUUCAUUUUUUUUGAAGAAUGACGUAAAGCUUUUAUAUUGAUCAAGAAGUAGGUAACAACAUGAAUACAAUUCAUCCUCACAGUCUAAGUAUAAAUUGAACACAAGUUAAAACAACCUAAGUUGUUUUUAUGUUGCAAAACGCAAUACCAUUACAAUAUUGAAUUUAGUUUUUCUGUUUGGAUUUGCUUGGAGUCUUUAUAACUAUUGUAUUGAGUACAAUCCUUGCCAUGAUUGGUUUCGCACCCAAGUUUUUUCGUAUGUAAUAUAUAUCUCUGGUUAGCUUUCGAGUUUGUGUUCUGUGUAGAUUAUGCGAAAUUGAUUUGAAUGAUAGUAGUUGUAUAAUAGAAAAGCUUGUUAUGGAUGACAAUAGUCUGCUUGUAAAUCGCUAGAGUCGAUCGUCCGAUUACAGCCAUCAUUUGUUAUGGUCUGAACUAAUUAAACCGUGAGACUCAUUCUAUUCUGAAAGUACAGAAUAAUUUUUUCUAUUUUGAGGGGAAGGAGUCAAGCUUUCAUUCAUUAUACGAUGUCACUCCGUCAAGCUAGAGAAUGAAUACUCCGUAAUUCACAAUGCGAGACUCAAAAAGCUGCGAGACUUGAAAUAGCAAAUACUUAGAACACUGAAAAUGGACAUACUGAUUGUGAAGAAACUUCUCAUUAUUAAAUGUGACAGGGGAGAGAAUUCCCCGAUACGUAUCUGCCUACACAGGAAAUCCUACAUCGAUCGAAUCAGCAGAGUAAUCGAACUGAAACACAUUGCCUACCCAGAAAAACCUGCAGAGAACUAGCAGAGUACGUAAUUAAGCCAACUGAAACAUAUUUUGAAGAAGGAAACAAUUCAAUAACAAUGGUAAACAGCAACUCUCCUUUGAGGAGGAGGCUGACAUAUAACAAAGAAAGCCAUUGCCAACACUAUAGCCAGCACCAGCCCCAGCAACAAUGUAUCAUCCUGAUCCACGCAGCAAGAGAACCUUCCCAUUCUUCAAAGCCAAACUCUGAACUUCUUUCCAAGCUAGGAAGAUCUCAACAAGAAGAAAAGAAGCGUUUCAACGACUUGAGAGUGAGCUUAAGCAAAUACCAUGAGGAUCUAAAGGGAGAAAGUACGGGCUUUCUAUCCAUGGAAUGCUUAUGCAGCCUGUGAGAAGUCGACACGUUUGAUUAACAAUGUGGUGCCCAAACUUCGAGUGGUUUUGGUUAUCUUUGCUUCUUUGUGGCUACCACUCAACCUGAGGUUUCUGAUUGUACUUGAUUCUUCUCUGCCUUUCUACUUCUAUGUAUACCAUAAUUUUUUAUAUGAAAAUGAGUUUCCUAUAAGAGAUCUCUUCCUAUAAACCCCAUCCAAAUAAAGACCAGAACCUCAAUAUUUAGGUAAGCUAGGAACCAAUAAACUGGUUGUUGUGCAUUAGUGAAUAGGUUAAGAGAGGGAAAAUGAGGAUGAAAAAUGAUGGUUGUAUAAGAUGCCUAGUUGUAUUAUAAUGAAGCAUGGAAAAUGAUAUAUAUGAAAAUGAAAGCUUGAGAAACUAAUAAUUCGAUGAACUAAAUGUCGUGAAGGUAUAAUUAUAGUAGUUUGAAUUGUGCUGAUUGUCUAAUAUAUAUACCUCACUUUCAAAUACAUUUACUUAUGCGUCUUUGUCUUCAAGAUGUUUGUAUGUGAACGAUUAUUUCUUCAAACGUCGUUGUUUUGACAACUUCAGUACAAGAGAUUAUAAAACUUGAAUUUUUUUUGUCUUCUUGGUUAAUCGAUCAGAGUGAAGCUUAAACUAGUAUCUGAAUGUAAAAAAGAGACUACUAAACAACUUUGUAUACUCAUUCCUAAAAGUCGAAGAGAGGAUGUUCUGGUGAA